CCCCGUGCCAGAGCCCCCUCCCCCCCCGUCGCUGCCUGCCUGCGCAGCGCCGAGCACGGCCCAAGCCCCCCCGCAGGCAGGUGGCGGGGUCCCCUGCGAGGGUCGCUCUCCCCCCACCUCUCAGCCCAGCGCCAGCAGCCCAUCCCGGUGGGACCCCUUCGCCCCGCUCCCCGCUGCGGGUCGCGCACCCCUUCGCCCUGCUCCCUGCUCUGGGCCGCGCGUGGCACACGGAGAUCGUUAGUGCAUCUCUCGGGCUGGUGCAAGAUUUCAGCUGGCGUCUCGGGCGCUCCCAGACAGCAAAUGCUCCCCCAGGGGCACAUCACGGGCCAUUUUUGAUCGUUUCUAACUCUAUUAUUGGGGAGUUUCAUUUCAGCUUUGCUUGGAGACUUGCAGUUUGCCAGGUCCAGCCAGUCUGGGGCUGUGAAGGUUAAUUGCAGCAGCCUGCAAGGCGCUGGAGCACAAACCAUGCUCCCGGCCCGGGGCGGCGCGGGCUGCGUCCCUCUGCGGCUGUCCGGCGGUCCGGGCAGCAGAGGAUGUGGGGCUGCUGAGGGCCCCCCUGGCCUGCGGGAGCCCGCCGCAGGGAGGAGAGCUCGCUGCGGGCCAGGCGGGGGGUCCUGCGCCUGCUCCUGGGUCCUGUCCUGGCUGCGUGGCUGGGCUACGCCCUGCGCCCCUGCCCCGUGCCUCGGUUUCCCGUACUGGAGAGCAGAUGAUGCUGAUCCAUGCCGUGACGGAGCAGAGGGAAGGUUAAGCGAUCAGUUGGCACUGCAGGAGAGGGCUCAGCAGGACGGCCCUUGGCUGCGAGCCCAGGAGCAGAGCUGGAAACCCCAGAUUACUUGCUUAAAAUGGCAAUGCUGGGCAGCGAUAAGAUUCCUGGCCUCCGCGUGGCUGCGAGGAGGGGAGGUCGCCGCCGCCGCGCAGAGGGGCACGUGCAAGGGAGCUCGGCCCUCGCCUGCAGGCUGCUCCCGAGCGGCUCGCAGCCCCACGCCGGCUGCGGCCAGGAGCGCGCCUGCCGCCGCAGCCCGUGGAGCAGGCGUCCGCCCGACGGAGAGGGUGCCGAGGUGCCGGGGAGCCCGGGCGCGCGCUCCCCUCGGCAGCCCCCGCGCCGCGGGGCGGCUGGCAGGCGCCGUGCAGGCAGCGAGGGUCUCAGCGUGGUGCAGCCCCUGGGAGAGGGGGUUGCUCCGGGCUACUCCCCAAGGGCUUGGGAAGGCCGGUGCACCGCGGCCAGCCCCACCACGCCGUGGGGCUGCUGCAGCCCUCCGACGACCCCGGGAGCACUGAGCAAACCUGGUUCGCAAAGAAGCGAUGCCGCAGACGUGUGAGUCUGUGUAAGCAUCCAGGUAGUGUGGAGCCUUGCACGCAGUUAUCUGCUGAACAUCCCUGCUGUUACCUGCUGAACAUCCCUGCUGUUAUCUGUUGAACAUCCUUGCUGGAAUCUGCUGACCGUGCAUAUUUGUUGACCACCCUGUUGACCAUCCUGUUAUCGGCGAAGGCCGCCGGCUCUGUUGUGUAACCCCGGUCUGGCGCUGAUCGGCUGGAUAACGAACUAAGCCUGGGGAGGAUAAAAGCCACAUACCUCUGGCGUGGACUCGGGCUCGCCGUCAGCUGGCCUGCGGACCCUGCAGGCCACCCAUCAGCGAGGGUGAUGCCCUCCACCCUGAUGCCGCCUGCCAGGGAGAGCCUGAGUCAUCUUGGCACAGCUCGUGCGUGGUGAGAGCAAUCCGGGGAAAACUGUACCGGAGGGGUGGCCCACAAGGGCAAGGAAAGGGCGAGAGCCGUCAUUGUACGGUGCAUCCGCGGCUGGACCACGGCGCUCUGAUACGUGUGUUUUAUUUUUAGGUCUUUCCUAUGCCUUUUUAGCUUUGUUACAUUUGUUAUGCUUGUAGGCUGCCUGGUGUUAAUUGCUUAGGGUUGUCCAGCGACCGUCAUAUGUGCAGAACCACUUAGCUUCAAUAAACUCUUAAGCUUGACAAAUGACAA
This is a long non-coding RNA of Rhea pennata, 1977 nucleotides long. RefSeq lists it as uncharacterized. The record is from RefSeq and is a predicted model, not a curated record. The transcript has 3 exons. NCBI's taxonomy places the organism in Eukaryota, Metazoa, Chordata, Aves, Rheiformes, Rheidae.